This 238-nucleotide ribosomal RNA is filed under the name uncultured bacterium. Its description in RNAcentral is "partial 16S ribosomal RNA". It matches the Rfam family "Bacterial small subunit ribosomal RNA", at positions 28 to 267 of the family's 1533-position model. The record is from RNAcentral.
GACGAACGCUGGCGGCGUGCUUAACACAUGCAAGUCGAGCGGUAAGGCCCUUUCGGGGGUACACGAGCGGCGAACGGGUGAGUAACACGUGGGUGACCUGCCCUCAGCUCUGGGAUAAGCCUGGGAAACUGGGUCUAAUACUGGAUAUGACUCCACGGUGCAUGUCGUGGGGUGGAAAGCCUUGUGCGGCUGAGGAUGGGCCCGCGGCCUAUCAGCUUGUUGGUGGGGUGAUGGCCUA